Molecule: ribosomal RNA, 2893 nt
Filed under: Acinetobacter baumannii
Lineage: Bacteria; Pseudomonadati; Pseudomonadota; Gammaproteobacteria; Moraxellales; Moraxellaceae
Description: 23S ribosomal RNA
Rfam family: Bacterial large subunit ribosomal RNA
Source: RNAcentral
AGUCAAGUAAUUAAGUGCAUGUGGUGGAUGCCUUGGCAGUCAGAGGCGAUGAAAGACGUGAUAGCCUGCGAAAAGCUCCGGGGAGGCGGCAAAUAUCCUUUGAUCCGGAGAUGUCUGAAUGGGGGAACCCACCUACUUUAAGGUAGGUAUUGCAACAUGAAUACAUAGUGUUGCAAGGCGAACGAAGGGAAGUGAAACAUCUCAGUACCCUUAGGAAAAGAAAUCAAUUGAGAUUCCCUCAGUAGCGGCGAGCGAACGGGGAUCAGCCCAUUAAGUUAUGUGUGUUUUAGUGGAACGCUCUGGGAAGUGCGAACGUAGAGGGUGAUAUUCCCGUACACGAAAGGGCACACAUAAUGAUGACGAGUAGGGCGAGGCACGUGAAACCUUGUCUGAAUAUGGGGGGACCAUCCUCCAAGGCUAAAUACUCCUGACUGACCGAUAGUGAACCAGUACCGUGAGGGAAAGGCGAAAAGAACCCCUGUGAGGGGAGUGAAAUAGAUCCUGAAACCGCAUGCAUACAAGCAGUGGGAGCACCUUCGUGGUGUGACUGCGUACCUUUUGUAUAAUGGGUCAGCGACUUAUAUUCAGUAGCGAGGUUAACCGUAUAGGGGAGCCGUAGAGAAAUCGAGUCUUAAUAGGGCGUUUAGUUGCUGGGUAUAGACCCGAAACCAGGCGAUCUAUCCAUGAGCAGGUUGAAGGUUGGGUAACACUAACUGGAGGACCGAACCCACUGUCGUUGAAAAGCCAGGGGAUGACUUGUGGAUAGGGGUGAAAGGCUAAUCAAGCCUGGUGAUAGCUGGUUCUCCCCGAAAGCUAUUUAGGUAGCGCCUCGGACGAAUACCAUAGGGGGUAGAGCACUGUUUCGGCUAGGGGGUCAUCCCGACUUACCAAACCGAUGCAAACUCCGAAUACCUAUGAGUACUAUCCGGGAGACAGACUGCGGGUGCUAACGUCCGUAGUCAAGAGGAAAACAAUCCAGACCGCCAGCUAAGGCCCCAAAAUCAUAGUUAAGUGGGAAACGAUGUGGGAAGGCAUAGACAGCUAGGACGUUGGCUUAGAAGCAGCCACCCUUUAAAGAAAGCGUAAUAGCUCACUAGUCGAGUCGGCCUGCGCGGAAGAUGUAACGGGGCUAAAACUAUGUGCCGAAGCUGCGGAUGUAUACUUUGUAUACGUGGUAGGGGAGCGUUCUGUAAGCCGAUGAAGGUGUGUUGAGAAGCAUGCUGGAGGUAUCAGAAGUGCGAAUGCUGACGUGAGUAACGACAAAACGGGUGAAAAACCCGUUCGCCGAAAGACCAAGGGUUCCAGUCCAACGUUAAUCGGGGCUGGGUGAGUCGACCCCUAAGGCGAGGCCGAAAGGCGUAGUCGAUGGGAAAAUGGUUAAUAUUCCAUUACUUCUGUGUAAUGCGAUGAGAGGACGGAGAAGGCUAAAUCAGCCUGGCGUUGGUUGUCCAGGUGAAAGGAUGUAGGCAUGUAUCUUAGGCAAAUCCGGGGUACUCUAUGCUGAGAUCUGAUAGCAAGCUGUACUUGUACAGCGAAGUGGUUGAUGCCAUGCUUCCAGGAAAAGUCUCUAAGCUUCAGUUACACAGGAAUCGUACCCGAAACCGACACAGGUGGUCAGGUCGAGUAGACCAAGGCGCUUGAGAGAACUCUGCUGAAGGAACUAGGCAAAAUGGUACCGUAACUUCGGGAGAAGGUACGCUGUUGUUGGUGAUGGAACUCGCUUCCUGAGCUGACGACAGCCGCAGAAACCAGGCCGCUGCAACUGUUUAUUAAAAACAUAGCACUCUGCAAACACGAAAGUGGACGUAUAGGGUGUGAUGCCUGCCCGGUGCUGGAAGGUUAAUUGAUGGGGUUAGCGUAAGCGAAGCUCUUGAUCGAAGCCCCAGUAAACGGCGGCCGUAACUAUAACGGUCCUAAGGUAGCGAAAUUCCUUGUCGGGUAAGUUCCGACCUGCACGAAUGGCAUAAUGAUGGCGGCGCUGUCUCCAGCAGAGGCUCAGUGAAAUCGAAAUCGCUGUGAAGAUGCAGUGUACCCGCGGCUAGACGGAAAGACCCCGUGAACCUUUACUGCAGCUUGACACUGAACUUUGACCUUACUUGUGUAGGAUAGGUGGGAGGCUUUGAAGCUGGAACGCUAGUUCCAGUGGAGCCGUCCUUGAAAUACCACCCUGGUAAUGUUGAGGUUCUAACUCUGUCCCGUGAUCCGGGACGAGGACCGUGUCUGGUGGGUAGUUUGACUGGGGCGGUCUCCUCCUAAAGAGUAACGGAGGAGUACGAAGGUGCGCUCAGCGUGGUCGGAAAUCACGCGUAGAGUAUAAAGGCAAAAGCGCGCUUAACUGCGAGACCCACAAGUCGAGCAGGUACGAAAGUAGGUCUUAGUGAUCCGGUGGUUCUGUAUGGAAGGGCCAUCGCUCAACGGAUAAAAGGUACUCUGGGGAUAACAGGCUGAUACCGCCCAAGAGUUCAUAUCGACGGCGGUGUUUGGCACCUCGAUGUCGGCUCAUCUCAUCCUGGGGCUGAAGCAGGUCCCAAGGGUAUGGCUGUUCGCCAUUUAAAGAGGUACGCGAGCUGGGUUUAGAACGUCGUGAGACAGUUCGGUCCCUAUCUACCGUGGGCGCUGGAAAUUUGAGAGGAUCUGCUCCUAGUACGAGAGGACCAGAGUGGACGAACCUCUGGUGUACCGGUUGUGACGCCAGUCGCAUCGCCGGGUAGCUAUGUUCGGAAGGGAUAACCGCUGAAAGCAUCUAAGCGGGAAGCCUACCUCAAGAUAAGAUUUCCCUAGGACUUUAUGUCCUCUAAAGAGCCGUUCGAGACUAGGACGUUGAUAGGUUGGAUGUGGAAGCAUAGUGAUAUGUGAAGCUGACCAAUACUAAUUGCUCGUGAGGCUUGACUAU